RNAcentral lists this ribosomal RNA (866 nucleotides) under Amanita citrina. RNAcentral's name for it is "eukaryotic LSU rRNA". It matches the Rfam family "Eukaryotic large subunit ribosomal RNA", at positions 79 to 930 of the family's 3401-position model. Lineage: Eukaryota; Fungi; Basidiomycota; Agaricomycetes; Agaricales; Amanitaceae. The record is from RNAcentral.
CUUAGUAACUGCGAGUGAAGAGGGAAAAGCUCAAAUUUAAAAUCUGGCAGUGUUUUGCUGUCCGAGUUGUAACCUAGAGAAGUGUAACCUGGGCUGGACCAUGUACAAGUCUCCUGGAAUGGAGCAUCGCAGAGGGUGAGAAUCCCGUCUUUGACAUGGACUACCAGUGCAUUGUGGUUGUGCUCUCAACGAGUCGAGUUGUUUGGGAAUGCAGCUCUAAAUGGGUGGUAAAUUCCAUCUAAAGCUAAAUAUUGGCGAGAGACCGAUAGCGAACAAGUACCGUGAGGGAAAGAUGAAAAGAACUUUGGAAAGAGAGUUAAACAGUAUGUGAAAUUGUUGAAAGGGAAACGUUUGAAGUCAGUCAUGUUGGCUGGGGAUCAGCCUGGCAGAUUGCCGGGUGUACUUCCUGGUUGACGGGCCAACAUCAGUUUUGACUGCCAGAAAAAGGCCAAGGGAAUGUGGCACCUUUGGGUGUGUUAUAGCUCUUGGUCGUAUGUGGUGGUUGGGACUGAGGAGAGCAGUGCGCCGAAAGGCAGGGUUUCGACCACAUUCGCACUGAGGAUGUUGGCAUAAUGGCUUUAAGCGACCCGUCUUGAAACACGGACCAAGGAGUCUAACAUGCAUGCGAGUGUUUGGGUGGAAAACUCUUACGCGCAAUGAAAGUGAAAGUUGAGAUCCCUGUCGUGGGGAGCAUCGACGCCCGGACCAGAACUUUUGGGACGGAUCUGCGGUAGAGCAUGUAUGUUGGGACCCGAAAGAUGGUGAACUAUGCCUGAAUAGGGUGAAGCCAGAGGAAACUCUGGUGGAGGCUCGUAGCGAUUCUGACGUGCAAAUCGAUCGUCAAAUUUGGGUAUAGGGGCGAAAGA